CAAAAAAUAGUUUAAAUAAAAUAAUAAUUUUGGAAAUUAUUGAUAUAAAUUAAAAUAUUAUUUUUUUGA
RNAcentral lists this transfer RNA (69 nucleotides) under Macrostemum floridum. RNAcentral describes it as "tRNA-Pro". The record is from RNAcentral. Lineage: Eukaryota; Metazoa; Arthropoda; Insecta; Trichoptera; Hydropsychidae.